RNAcentral lists this non-coding RNA (295 nucleotides) under Paenibacillus macerans. RNAcentral's name for it is "Bacterial small subunit ribosomal RNA". It matches the Rfam family "Bacterial small subunit ribosomal RNA", at positions 59 to 340 of the family's 1533-position model. Lineage: Bacteria; Bacillati; Bacillota; Bacilli; Caryophanales; Paenibacillaceae. The record is from Rfam by way of RNAcentral.
AAGUCGAGCGGACCUGAUGGAGUGCUUGCACUCCUGAUGGUUAGCGGCGGACGGGUGAGUAACACGUAGGCAACCUGCCCGUAAGACCGGGAUAACUACCGGAAACGGUAGCUAAUACCGGAUAAUCAAGUCUCUCGCAUGGGAGGCUUGGGAAAGGCGGAGUAAUCUGUCACUUACGGAUGGGCCUGCGGCGCAUUAGCUAGUUGGUGGGGUAACGGCUCACCAAGGCGACGAUGCGUAGCCGACCUGAGAGGGUGAACGGCCACACUGGGACUGAGACACGGCCCAGACNNNN